CAGCAGCCGCGGGAAUACAGAGGGUGCGAGCGUUAAUCGGAUUUACUGGGCGUAAAGCGUGCGUAGGCGGCUUCUUAAGUCGGAUGUGAAAUCCCUGAGCUUAACUUAGGAAUUGCAUUCGAUACUGGGAAGCUAGAGUAUGGGAGAGGAUUGUAGAAUUCCAGGUGUAACGGUGAAAUGCGUAGAGAUCUGGAGGAAUACCGAUGGCGAAGGCAGCCAUCUGGCCUAAUACUGACGCUGAGGUACGAAAGCAUGGGGAGCAAACAGGAUUAGAUACCCGCGUAGUCCCUGUCUCUUAUAC
Molecule: ribosomal RNA, 301 nt
Filed under: uncultured bacterium
Lineage: Bacteria
Description: partial 16S ribosomal RNA
Rfam family: Bacterial small subunit ribosomal RNA
Source: RNAcentral